This 429-nucleotide ribosomal RNA is filed under the name Chloroflexota bacterium. RNAcentral describes it as "Chloroflexi bacterium partial 16S ribosomal RNA". It matches the Rfam family "Bacterial small subunit ribosomal RNA", at positions 355 to 776 of the family's 1533-position model. Lineage: Bacteria; Bacillati; Chloroflexota. The record is from RNAcentral.
UGGGGAAUAUUGCACAAUGGGCGCAAGCCUGAUGCAGCCAUGCCGCGUGUAUGAAGAAGGCCUUCGGGUUGUAAAGUACUUUCAGUCGGGAGGAAGGUGGUAAGGUUAAUAACCUUAUCAAUUGACGUUACCGACAGAAGAAGCACCGGCUAACUCCGUGCCAGCAGCCGCGGUAAUACGGAGGGUGCAAGCGUUAAUCGGAAUUACUGGGCGUAAAGCGCACGCAGGCGGUUGAUUGAGUCAGAUGUGAAAUCCUCGGGCUCAACCUGGGAACUGCAUCUGAUACUGGCAAGCUUGAGUCUCGUAGAGGGGGGUAGAAUUCCAGGUGUAGCGGUGAAAUGCGUAGAGAUCUGGAGGAAUACCGGUGGCGAAGGCGGCCCCCUGGACGAAGACUGACGCUCAGGUGCGAAAGCGUGGGGAGCAAACAGG